Molecule: ribosomal RNA, 434 nt
Filed under: uncultured bacterium
Lineage: Bacteria
Description: partial 16S ribosomal RNA
Rfam family: Bacterial small subunit ribosomal RNA
Source: RNAcentral
AGCGAACGCUGGCGGCAGGCCUAACACAUGCAAGUCGAACGAACCUUUCGGGGUUAGUGGCGGACGGGUGAGUAACACGUGGGAACGUGCCUUUAGGUUCGGAAUAACUCAGGGAAACUUGUGCUAAUACCGAAUGUGCCCUUCGGGGGAAAGAUUUAUCGCCUUUAGAGCGGCCCGCGUCUGAUUAGCUAGUUGGUUGAGGUAAUGGCUCAACAAGGCGACGAUCAGUAGCUGGUCUGAGAGGAUGAUCAGCCACAUUGGGACUGAGACACGGCCCAAACUCCUACGGGAGGCAGCAGUGGGGAAUCUUGCGCAAUGGGCGAAAGCCUGACGCAGCCAUGCCGCGUGAAUGAUGAAGGUCUUAGGAUUGUAAAAUUCUUUCACCGGGGACGAUAAUGACGGUACCCGGAGAAGAAGCCCCGGCUAACUUCGUG